ACUCAAAUGAAUUGACGGGGGCCCGCACAAGCGGUGGAGCAUGUGGUUUAAUUCGACGCAACGCGAAGAACCUUACCUGGGCUCGAAAUGUACAGGAAUCCGGUGGAAACAUCGGCGCCCAGCAAUGGGCCUGUAUAUAGGUGCUGCAUGGCUGUCGUCAGCUCGUGUCGUGAGAUGUUGGGUUAAGUCCCGCAACGAGCGCAACCCUUACCUCCAGUUGCCAUCAUUCAGUUGGGCACUCUGGCGGAACCGCCUCGGAUAACGGGGAGGAAGGUGGGGAUGACGUCAAGUCCUCAUGGCCUUUAUGUCCAGGGCUACACACGUGCUACAAUGGCCGGUACAAACCGUCGCAAAGCCGCGAGGUGGAGCUAAUCGGAAAAAGCCGGCCUCAGUUCGGAUCGCAGUCUGCAACUCGACUGCGUGAAGCUGGAAUCGCUAGUAAUCGUGGAUCAGAAUGCCACGGUGAAUACGUUCCCGGGCCUUGUACACACCGCCCGU
RNAcentral lists this ribosomal RNA (498 nucleotides) under uncultured bacterium. RNAcentral's name for it is "partial 16S ribosomal RNA". It matches the Rfam family "Bacterial small subunit ribosomal RNA", at positions 899 to 1397 of the family's 1533-position model. The record is from RNAcentral.